RNAcentral lists this ribosomal RNA (459 nucleotides) under uncultured bacterium. RNAcentral's name for it is "partial 16S ribosomal RNA". It matches the Rfam family "Bacterial small subunit ribosomal RNA", at positions 338 to 795 of the family's 1533-position model. The record is from RNAcentral.
CCUACGGGCGGCAGCAGUGAGGAAUAUUGGUCAAUGGCCGAGAGGCUGAACCAGCCAAGUCGCGUGAGGGAAGACGGCCCUACGGGUUGUAAACCUCUUUUGUCGGGGAGCAAAGCGAACCACGUGUGGUUCAUUGAGAGUACCCGAAGAAAAAGCAUCGGCUAACUCCGUGCCAGCAGCCGCGGUAAUACGGAGGAUGCGAGCGUUAUCCGGAUUUAUUGGGUUUAAGGGGUGCGCAGGCGGUCUGUUCAGUCAGCGGUAAAAGCGCGGGGGUCAACCCCGGCCCGCCGUUGAAACUGGCAGUCUCGAGUUGGAGAGAAGUAUGCGGAAGGCGCGGUGUAGCGGUGAAAUGCAUAGAUAUCGCGCAGAACUCCGAUUGCGAAGGCAGCAUGCCGGCUCCACACUGACGCUGAGGCACGAAAGCGUGGGUAUCGAACAGGAUUAGAUACCCGGGUAGUC